UCAACGCAGAGUUCCUCGGUCGUGGUCGUACCAGCGCUCUCGCCGACCGCCACCCUCUUUCCUCCAGGCAAUGCCGCCGCCGCCGCCGCCGCCGCCGUCUUUGCGCUAGAGUCCUUGUCGCCCGCCUUCCUCUUGAGCCUGGCCCUGCGGCCGCUGCCUCCUCAUCAAUCUCCUCCUCGAUUCAUCGCGGGGAUUGGCGGCGGCGGGCAGAGGAGCACGAGAUCCGGGCGAUGACGGGGAGCCCAAGCUCCAAGCGGAGGUCGGCAGCGGUAUUGGGCGGUGGCGGCCAAGCGCGCGACCAGGACGCGGGGUAGCGGUGACUUGGGAGGCGAGUGCGAGGCACGGGCGGUGGCGUGGAGCACGGGAGCGCAAGGCGUUGGGAGGAGGUGGCACGGGCGAGCAGGUGGUAGGAGGUCGCCCCUUGCCCUCACCCUCGCCGCGCGCAGGGGCAGCGCGGGGCAGCGGUAGCCGGCGGGGCACCCGCUCCGGCUGCCGCCCGCACCCUCGCCCCUCGCUCUUUGCUAAGAAAGGAGAAGCUUUUUGCCGUUUAACCCCCUCUCUUCUCUUCUUUUAUCACCUGAACCCCUUUCUCUUUAGAAUGUGGACUGCGGGUUGAUUUCUAAAAACUUCAGGGGCUUUUUUGCAAAAUAGGACGACGGACGAAAAAAAUAUGGCAGAGACACUACUUGCUUUAAUAAUAUACUAGCAAAAUGCCCGUGCGUUGCUACGGUGAAAUGAUAAUCAUAUUUUUAAAACUCGUGGGUUUUUUUCCUAUUUCUAUCACUAUAUAUUUAUUGCAUUUCUGUUAACAUAUAUCCUUAUCACUAUAUAUUUAUUGCAUUUCUAUUAACAUAUAUCCUUAUAUUGAAAUAAUUAUUCAUUGAUGGCCAUCAGCCGUGGCUUCUUCUCAGGGUCGGACCCGUCGUACUGCUUCAACUCCUCUUGAGUCUUAAUUGUUUGCCUUACCGUUUUUGGCCCAAUAUCUCCCCCGACAUGGCAGCUUAACUUCGCACCUGGCUCGUAGCCAUCCAUCUGGAUUGGGCGGUCGAGACACUCACGAUGCAAAACACAACUCGGUUCCAGCAUCUCAUGUGAAAUCCUAAGGUGACGUUUGGACGGUGGAUGUGAUAUGAAAAUGGAUAUAAGAUGGGAUACGGAGAAGUAGAUUAUGGAUUGGGAAAUAAAACUCCAAUCCGAAUCCAUGGUUUGGCUGUGCUUAGGAAAUGGUUUGGAUUUAAAGCGGAACCCACGUGCAAUAGAAAAAGAAAGGAAGAGGACUUGGCCGUUUUCUCUUUUUGAUGCAACGGCACCGUCAUAAUCCAAACUGCGAGGCACCCUUAUCUCUGGUUCUCUCUUCUCUUCGUCCACGCUGGACCUUACCCCGUAUUCGUGUUUAGGUUCUUUAAUUUGGGUCUAGAUUUUCUACGGGACCCACAAACUAAUUAAAAAAGGAUGGUCCUUAUCUUUUGGUGCCUUGUUCGUUCACAACCACAUGGUGCUACUCGAGCUCCGAGGCGAGCAGCACACUCUGCCACAGCACGACAAGACCGAGGCUUCAGCUGCGUGCGAUUCGAGUGGCGGCGGCGACCACUACGCGCGGCACCUGCGGUGGCGAGCACCAUGCGUAGCAUCUACCGUGGCUGCGCUCCCGCUCGUGUGGCUGCGGUGGCGGUGGCUUCGCUUCCCUCCGCGUAACUCCGAGCGCAAGCCAUGCGGCGAGCUCCGACGUCCACAGCAUGCUCCGGUCCCGACACUUCAAGCUGCUGCGGUUCCUCUCGCUUGUGCGCGCGUGUGGACAACGCACGGGCAUCAGUAUUAUGGGGAGCUCCAGGCGGCGGCUGCGGCGGGGGAGAUCUGGGCGGCCGCGGAUGGGAAGCUCCAGUUGGCGAGCUCUGGGUGGCGGCUUCAGCGGGGGAGAUCCAGGCAGCUGCGGAUGGGGAGCUCCAAGCGGGCGCGUGGCGCCGCCUCGGCAACGGGCGGGCGGCGCGGCCGUGGUGGGGCGCCCCGCUCCGGCCGCUGCCCGCGCCCCGUCCCCCUCCUUGGCCUCCUUGUUUUGGAUUGGAGAAAGGAGAAGUUUUUUCCCUUUAAACCCCCUCUCUUUCCUCCUUUUUCAAUCCGACACCCAAACUAUUCAUAAUAAUGGACUGCGGGUUGAUUACACAAAACAACAGGGGUUUUUCUGCAAAAAUACCACGACGUACGAAAAAUCUGGCGGAGGCGUUACUUGCUUUAAUAAUAGGUAUAGAUAUAGAUAGGUAUAGAUGAACAAACUAACACCGAGCUGCAAUUUCGAGCAUGGGGUAACUCCUUGCACGUCAGAUAAUACGGUGAAGGAAAAUGGUCAACUAGCUAUUUGCGGAUGCAGCCUACGCGUGCAUGCAUGCGUGCAGGGUGCUCAACGGCACGCAUGGAAUCCGGCCGGCGGCGCCCAAAGCUCACAGCUCAGUCCAUUAUCGGAGCUUGCCACCACGUAUGGCCUAUGCUUUGGUUGGAGUCUCGGCCAAGCCGCAGUGCUCGGUCAAGUAGUUUGGUAAGCGGGUGCGAGGGAUCAGGGCGCAUCAUCCGGGCAGAGCCUCAACGAACACUACUGCAUGGAUCGCGUCCCGGGAGGGCCAGCUGGGCGACGAAGGCGAUAGACAGACUAGGGAGGACACGGUGCUCUGCUCCUCCGUCCCGGGAGCCGGGGCAAGGCCGGGACAUACGCAGCUCGUCUCCUCGCACGCCUCCACGUCUCCACGCCAUGGGCCCGAGGAAUGGAGCUCCGUGGCGCCGCCGUUGGCCGGCCGCCAACGAUUAUGUAUCCGGAUUCUAAGUCUCUCGCUGCUCGCGGAAGAACAGAUGAGAGCACCCACCCCCUGCUGUGCUUUCCCUUUCCCUCCUCUGCUUCUUCUGCUUCUCCUCCUCCUCCUCCUCCUUGUAGAAUAAUGGUAGAUCUCAUCUGUCAAUUGUAUUCUUUAUGAUCUUUGGUUGAAUAUAAAGGGACGCUAUUUAUAUUCUGAUUGUUGUCAGUGCAAUAUGCGAUAGUUUUCUGAAAUUUACUAUCAUUAAUAUCUCUGAAAGUGAUCACCUUCACCUAGCAACAGACCUUAACCGAACCUGUGAGUCCCUGAUAGGAGAACAUUCAGCGUUGUCCUCUGAAAUGAGUUUCAGCUUUUGCAUCCUCUGAAAUGAGCUAGGAACGUCUCUGAUAUUGUUUGUAUUCUUCCACUAUCUCCAGUUUUGACAUGUGACUUCACCCACCCUCCCAAAGUCAGUGUAGAUCGUUUCAUGUAAAGUUGUAGACCAUGACUGUUGCUGACUUGCUGUAGUGAAGCAGGCUCUUCAGGUGCCUGUGCCUCCUCAACUCUAACUGAUGUCUGGCGAUUCGGGUACUGCUACUUGCUAGGUUGUCUUACCACUCGGAGCUACGCAAUGCAGAUUUACCUAACUCAGCAUGAACGCCUGAGAGACUAAACAAAACUUAGAUAACAAGAAUAAAGGAAGGGUCAACUCAGUGGAAGUAUUUUGUGCAACAACACGCAUAAGUACAUCUUCUGAGCUGCAUAACAUGAUCAUGAUCAUACAUCAGUGAACAAUUAGCAAGUAAAUCAUAGACGAUACGAAUUAACUCGAAACUCUCACAUUUCCUGUGCUACAGGCACACAUAGGAUCUAUAGACGAAACAAUUGCUACUCUGAAACGAUGUUCCUUUUACUGCUAACAAUUGAAAGAAAAUAGUCAAAAAUAAAUAAAUAAAUGUUAUACUUUGUGUUCUCGAUGACGAUAGUUGAAAUUUGACAAAAGAAGGUUUGAACAUCCUCUCCCUUUCAGAGUUUCAUUGAGACCAGAAGGAGCUGUAAUCACACAACACAAUCUGACAGUUCCCACAAGAUGGUGAGAAGGCCAAAGGACGUUGAUCUGACAGUUCCACGUACUCAUGCUGGAAGGAACACUGUCAAAGGUUAAUUCAGAUAGCAAAAACACAAGAGAAAAAAAAACGGAUGGGGAUCAUCAGACUAGGCAUGAACUAGCGGAGAUGGAGAUGCGCAGUUGCCACUGCUGUUCGAUGAACAACUCCCAAGUCGUUCCGCGAUAGCAAAUGGCAGAAUGGAGAUUCCUGCCGCACCGCAUAGCGCGUCAGCGCUUAGCCUCGUCGGCGGCAUCUCCGACGCCCUGGCCGCCCUGGCCACCGCAUCAGCAUGUUCAAGCCGAUUUCACCUACGUCCUCCUCCGCUUCCACACCUCCGCCUCCGUCUGUGAUCAUGUUCCUUUUUUUUUUAAUCCAUCAUGUUCUUGUUUCUGUGUGUUAGACUUGAUCUAGAGUCGGGGUGAGUCUGGCCUACUUGUUCAGACCGAUCGAUGUUUCGAAUGAGAUCACUCUGGUUCUGGUGCAAGAAUCAAAUUUUAGUUUCAUCAUGAGAGUCAUUAAAAAGGGACAUUUACGUUUAUUCCGGUACUCAUCCAUUGUUACAUUGUUAGCAUAAGGAUCAUGUCAUGAUAAUGCAGUACUAGUCUCACAAAAAUAACCAACGCUAUCUGAAAUGCAUUCAUUCUUUGACCUCUGAAAUUUAGCUUACAUGCUUGUGUCCCUUACGCCAACAAGCACACACGAACAGUCAGCCCACACAGAGCAUGUGACACAAGCAAAAGCCCAUGGUGUUCCAACAUACCAUCGAUCAAUAGAAACUUGCACGCCAGUCAAAUUGAAGGCAAGCGAACUCGUUACCGUGUUGAGUUUAUGCAUUAACACCAAAAACCUGCCUGACAGACUUACCCAUAUGUGAAGUUCAGUUGGAACCUCAUACCAAAACAUACAAAGUGUUCCGCGAGGGGUUCACAAUGUUACAAUUUGCAUGCCCAUACUCGAGAAUUUUAAAAAGGAGACCAUGCCGAAUGCAAUAAAUCCUACAUAGAACAAAUACACCCAGCCAUAACAUCAACACAAAACUUAAAGGUUAGUUCAUCUUUUGUAGCCACAUGAAGAGCCGUAACAUUAGUUUUGAUACUGUCAUUUCUGUGCUAUCAUCAAAUUUCCUCAAUCAAUUUGUAUUGAUAUAUAAUAGAUGACUACUGGCUCAUACCAUACCAAACACAGCAUUCUUAUCCGCCAAAAAAACAUGAGCCUCUAGCCCAGAAACUGUACACACCUCGUAACUCCGAAGGUAAAAGAUACGGGUCAAAAAUAAUAAUAAAAAAUUUGCACUAUUUUCUUCCGACAAUGUGAUCUUCACCCAAAUAUCAAGAGCACUUCUUGAACUGAAUAGCACGAGCAGUUUGACAUACCAUUAGCAUCUCACAUAUCUGAGUUGUAAGUCAUUCAGUUCUCAAUGUAUCGAGGUAUACAAGCCAAAAAAUCACCUAGUGUAAACCAAAAAAAGGUUAUAUCAGACAGAGCUAGCGUUAAAGUAGAUGGAGAGGGAGUAUCUAAGUCAGGACACCUACCGCCAAUCACAAUGCAUCCGCACUCUUACCACCUCUCUUGCUAACUAGUUCACAGAGUCGGCAAGGCAGCGUGUCAAGGCUCAUUUCACGGGCCCUGCCAAAGUUACCCAGAACACCACAGCGUCUCCAUGCAUGGUAUUCUGCAUAGGCUACAGGGUCAUUUGCAAGUGCUUUCACAUAUGAUGCCAGUUCUUUCAGAGAGCUGAAUUUGGAAGCAUCUAUAAUAGAAUUGGGAGGAACAAAAUCCCAGACAUUGGCUGCCCCAAAGUAUAUGGGCACCGAUCCAGCCUCCAAAGCAUAGAACAACUUCUCAGUCACAUAACUUUCUGUCUUGGUGUUCUCAAUUGCAAGAACAAACUUGUAAUGUGACAUUGCGCAGUGUAGGUGAUCCCACCAGUGUGGUGAACCAUUAUCAUUGGUGGAGCAAACUGGAUACAUAGAUAGCGCCAUGUCAGGACCACCAACAUUGUUCAAACAUCUGCCAAAGGAAUGGUGUGGCACCAAUGUGAGAAAAUCUUUUGCAAGCUUGUCUCUGUGAGGAAGGCACCUUGAAGAUGACCAGUAAAUAAGUGCAUCCUGAUACCAGACAGGGAAAUCAAAAGUUCAUAAGAUUAAAAUGAUGCGAGGGAGAAUUACUACAGCAGGACUCAUUCUAUCUGAUAAAAUGUAGCACUGAUGCAACAGCAGACAUGCAUGACUUCAUCUUGUGACAGUAAAACACAAAAUUACAGAAAAAUACAGAAGAUUUGGUACUGUGAACACUCGUCCCCCACUCUAUAUCAUCUUGCGAUCACUCUUUGCAUCAUCCCCCACAUAACUGUUUCAGGCUUGCCAUAAAAAGGUAAAAAGAAGUGGAAAACCUUCAGUUAAGAUGGGUCUCUAUGCACCUGCUAAUAAUCUAGAGUAAGCCAAUUUGUAGAGUUGUAGACAUUGUCUACAUUUUCUAUGGACAAAGUUCAAACAACCAAUGCUGGACAGGACAGUUCCCAUAAAAAAUUAUGAGUAAUACACUGAUACUCAUGUUAAGGAAAAACAUAGCUGGAGUUAGGAAGUGCACAGGGUAUUAAAAUUACUAUUUUUGUAAGCCAAGUAAAUUGUUGCCUUGAUAUUACUAUGCAAUGGAAUUUAUACUUUUAGACUUACAUUUUUCUUUUCAGUUGAUAUAUGAUAGCUCCGGCUGGUGUGAAAUGAUUUUCCAGCGUAGGUUAUUUGCACAUCAUCAUUCGCAUGGUAACCUAUAAAAAUGUCCUCAAAACCUGUUGGCUUUCUACUAGCCUCCAGAUCCAGAUAAACACGAAGAGGCAGUCCUUUCAUUCUCUGCAAAACAUGUUAGGGAACACUUAAAAAUGAGAAUCAGAUAGAUGUAUAUACUUAAUCAGUUUAUAAAACAAUGAAUAAAUAAAUCUUAAAUUAUUCAAAAAGAGAAUAAGUGUUUGAUUCCACGCAAGUCCAAUGAAAGAUGGCAAACUUGCAAAGCUGUAGCCAUGCCACUGACCAAACCUUUAGCUACCAAAUGACCAACCAGAACUGCCAAAUUAACAGACAGAAAUAAGAUGCAAAGGAAAGAGGCGGCAAGCAAUCCACAAUACUGAUACGGACAGGUUACAGGUCCCAGCUUCUGAAUUUUUCAUCAAAGCAGCAGAUCAGUGGGAAACAAUAUCUGCUGUUUCACCAAUUUACUACAUUAAACAAUUCAAUUAGAAGAACUGGUAUCAUGAGUGCUCCUGCUCCCUCCAUUUUAAAUAGAGUAAAAUUACAUCAACAGUCCGUGAACUUGUUACUGUGUAUCAAUGAGGCCCAUAAACUUAGAAAAUGCAUUUCCAUAUCACUAAACUUGUCAAAUGCAGCACCACAGGUCCAUAUGGUCCAUGUCAGCACCUGGAUGCUGACAUGGUGGGAGCUAAUUAGUUUAUAACGUCAUGAUUUAAAAAUGGUGGGAGCAUCCCACAUUUCAACAAGAAACUAAGAUUCGGACAAAAUAUUUUGCCACAUUUUCAAAAAAAAUAUUUUGCCAUGUCAUCAAGUGUACACAAACAAACUUAGAACACACUUCAAAAGCAUUUUUUAUAACCUAACCAACAUUUUAAAAGGGCACACAUGCUACCAUCGGCACCUGUUAGGUACUCCUACCUCUUUCCCCAACAGAAAUGGCCCCAAAUUUUUCUUCUUCUUUUUUUUGGUAUACCAAUUCUCUGAUUCCACGAAGGAUUAGAAUUCAUCGCCAAUUUGAUCUCUGAAGUUCCAAGUGCCAAAUUUAGCAGCUAUCAGUUCAUCAUAAACAGGCAGCUCGCAGCUGACGCCUCAUUUUUCAAGAAAACAAGUGAUCCCCCCAUCAUGACUGGACAAGAAAAGAGGGGAAGAAGUCGGGUACCUGCGGCGGCGGCGUGGCGCCCUCGAAUAGCAGCGCGUCGGGGCGGUCGACGGCGGCAGCGGACUUGCUCCAUACGCAGCUGACCCCGCAGCGGCACGUGUAGACCCCGUCGAGCGCGUCGGGGAUCCACGUCCACCCCUUGACGAGCACCCCGACGUGCCGCGUCGCCAUCUCCUCGCACUUGGCCCCGCCCCACGCCGCGCCGCCGGUGAUUGCCGCGGAAGCCGAGGCCUCGGCGGUGGCGUUGGCGCCGGGCAGCUCCCCGGCGGCGAGCUUGGCGCGGAUGCGGGGGCACCCGACGGCGGCGUCCCAGGCGUUGAAGGCCUCGAGGAGGGAGGUGAAGGGGUUCCGGUCGCGGGAGCCGACGGAGUCGAGCGCGGUGGGGAAGCGGGUGGCGCCGCCGCCCGGGAGGACGGGCGCGGGCGUGGAGAGCGAGGAGAUGGAGGGGAGCUCGAAGUAGCCGGAGAGGAGGAGGAGCAGGAUGGCGGCGGAGGCAAGCAUCGGGGCCACGUAGUUGAUUCGCUUCCGGAAGAGCAUCGGGGGUGGCGUCGGGAACCUUCUAGAUGCUUCCACCGCGCGCCCGCUCGCCGGUGCGCGAGGCGAGACCUCGAAGAAGGGGAGAAGCACUCAAAGAAGGAGGAAGGGAGAAUAUGAGGGGGCUUUUACGCAAAAGUUGCAGGCUUUGGUUUUGCCGCUGGCCCGCUUUGGCUUUUCUUUCGUUGAGGUGUUUUAUCGUUUGGUCCUUAGAAAUCUGGUAUUUUAGAAAGGGUGGAGUAGUGGUUGGACUGGGUGGUAGGACGGCAGGGGCGGCCGCCGGUCGGCGGUGGUGGUUGUUUACCAUUUUCGAUGAAUUUUGGAGUACGUCUGCUUGCACGUGUCAGCUGACUAUCAUUCCUAGACUUUGACUUUUUUUUGACACCAGGAAUUACUAUGGGGAUAAAAUAUUUAUAUUGCAAUACAUGAAGUACCUACGGAUUAUGACUCCUUCCUUAUUGUUUUCUGGUUCCAAGCUGAAAGAAAAAUACAUAGUUCAACACCAAUAAGCAGUAUCAUAAGUCUCAAUGAGAACUAUAAAACCACUUCAUUCAAAGAAUCAUCAGAACAACCUCGACACAGCGGUCUAAUGGAUAGAAAGCUGAAGUAUGUACAUUGAUCUGAAUUUGAGUCUAAGAACCAUGAGAACAACCUUGACACAGUGAUCUGGUGGAUAAAAAGGUUGCACUAUCUGAAUUUGAGUCUAUUUAUGGUCUGUACGAGAUCAUGACAAUUUGCUUGUUACAAAAUCAAUCCGAAGGGAAAAACAUUUCUUUAGAGCAUGCAACAUACAUUUUUCUAUGGGUUAUUACCAACAUGGUAUAUUCAGACAUAUAAUAUUCAAUUCGGUUUUAAACUGAACGUUGGAAUGUAGUUUGACAACUUUCAGAAUUAUUAUAGCGAUUGACUCAAUAUUAAACGUAACUAAGCAGUGACUAGUAAGAUUAUCACAUGGUCUAAACCAAUGUUAUAUGACACUAACUAUCGCUAAACUAAGGUGGUGAUGAUAAAUGUACUGAUUUAGUUAGUUAAGGGGUUGAUUUACACCAAAUGGAACAUAAGGGAUGAAUCACACUUUUGCAAUACUUGAGGGAUGAAAAAUACAUUUUUUUUCUUUUUUUAAUGCAAAGCAAAAAUUACGGGUGCUUUCAACAUUGUAAUCGUGUGAUCGGAGGUGCGAGCUGGGGCUGUGUGAGUGUGAUCUGUGUGACAUGCGACGGGUGUGCUUGCAGUGGUACGUGCAAUGGUGGUGAGGGUGAAAGGCCCCCGUCCUCGUCCUCUCCUCCACGUCUGUCCGUCGUGGACAAGUUGAUGUGGACGAUGAGAAGAGUUCAACAAGGAACACGCCAAAUUAGUCUGAUUUUUUUUAGACUAGCCAAACUAGUCUGAUGAUCAGAUAUCUAUCUGGGCUCGACCGUGGGCGCUAUGUCUGAUGAUCAUAUAUCUAUCUGGGCUCGACCGUGCUCUGGGCCAAGCCUAUUUUGGGUCCACAAUAAACUGGGCUAUUUUUGUCCGCCUGGUCCGGCCUAUGAUUAUCAGCCCGCAGCGCAGAUUGUUGACCAAGACCAACCCGGCCCAACAGAAAACAGCAACCAACUCCGCCCACCACCCCACCACCGCCACCUCGCCGGCUCCACGCAAACUCCGCCCGCCGCCCCAGACCCGCCGCCGCGGCAGCUCACCAGCUCCGGCGAUUCCAGACCAGCCGUUUCCUAACCCGGUGCCAGUGCCACGCACCCCGCCGGGCGGCGGGGAGGGCAGCACGGUCCCCCUUGCUUCUCCCGUACCCCCCCCCCCCCCCCCCCCCCCCCAGUCGUGGCUCGCCCCGAAACCCCCGCUGCCAGAGGCUGAAACCGUUCCCCCUUCCGCGCCUGCUGUACGGUUCUUGCUUUUAUUCGACUGCUCUUUCUUUCUCCGUCUUGAAUUUGGGUUCGGCUAGGCGCGCGAUAUCCGCGCAUUGUACGAACCUGUAUCAGGAUCGUGUCUUGCGUCGCCUUUCUGUACUUCGGAGUCCUGUCUCUAAAGUUGAAUCGUUUUGCCUCAGGAGGGGUCAAGGUGGGAACAACGAUCUGGGAGGGAAGAACCUGAGCAUGCUAGCCACUGGAUUAGGUCAGUGUUAAGUUUCCGCCUCACUCCUUCCAGUUUUAAAGCUUUCAGACUAUGCAAGUGACACCAUUUCCGCAUCGGUUUGGUACCCAAUACCGUGAAUCUGGAGGUAUUUCUGCCUUCAUUUCUUUAGAUAAAAUGCGAGUAUGAUUCAGCUAGCUGCUAAUCUUCAUGCUAUCUUUAGUUUUAAAGCUAGAAUUGUUUUGUAUCUUGUAAAUGUCUGUUUGUAUCUGUAAAUUAGGUUUGACCAAAUUAUUUAACUACCGUUAAGGUAAAUGCCACACUCCUUGGGUAGUUGGAUCUGACCUUAUUUUAACCCUGUAUUUUGAGUACUCUAUGCUGGAUCAUUUUGCUGGGAAAUAUGACCUUGGUGCUGUUUCAAUUUCAGUGUGUUGUUUUCCUUCAAACAGUUUUUCCAAACGCUAAUCCAAAGAUGACUCCUUAAUUUUUAGUUUAUCAUCAGAACAUGGAUAUUUUUACAUUAGUCAGUCAACUUCUUUGCUAUCCCCUGUUAUCCAGUCGAGUUACAGAGAUUCUGCAUCUUCAUUGAUCACCCAUUUUGUUUCCCAGGGGUGUGACAUCUGCAAGCACACAGUUACUACAAUACUACUGGUAGCUUCGAGCCAUGGAAUAUUUGACAGUCUGAGAUAGGGUCCAAUGAACGUCAAAGGAAAUACAGAGGUGAAAAAUAGCUUUUGCAAAUUUUAUCCGUGAUGUGUAUUUUAAACUUAUACCUCAAUGAAACUUUGUACAGAAUAUAAGGUGCAACUGUUACUCCAUUCCUAUUUACCCUGAAUUCCACUAUCAUUUGAUCACAUCAAAUUCACACAAUAUCAGUUUUCCUCCAUUUUAAAUGGACCCUCGUCCUCCCAGUGGCUCCUCAUCAAAUUGUAAGAGUUGUCCAAAUGAGCCAUUGGGAAGGCCCAAUCCUAUGAACUUUCACCACACACAAUUUCCACACCAUGUGUCGUUUUCACAACCAUCGCAUUCCAUGAACUUCCCCCAUCAUCAAUAUCCACAGCAACACCUAUACCCACCACAUGUCCAAUAUGUUGUUGUCCAACCACAAUACGGUCCUUUUUCACUACCACAACCUCCACCUUCCAGGGCUAUGUUGACACAGCCACCACCUCCACCUCCACCAGCUGGAGUUAUACCAUUACCAUUACCAUCAUCGCCACUUCCUCCUCCACCUGCUGGAGUGGUACCAUUAUCAGUGUCAGAGUCAGGCACCCCACAUUCAGUAACUGGUCCGGAUGAACAAGACAUUGUUAGUGUAGGCAAUGACAGGAAUGCUGAACCUGAUAGAACCUCUUGGCGACUGAGUUGGACAGAAGUGGAGAACUUAAGAUUGGUAAGAAGUUUUCUAUUCAUUUUAUGUUUGUUUAGACUAGUCCUUACAUUUUUUUCCUUAAUAUUUUUUUUUCCGGAUAUGCAGGUUAGUGCUUGGUUAAAUAGUUCCAGGCGGAGUAAUUCCAAGAAGUAUUUCUGGGCAAAUGUCGUGGGUGUGUAUAAUAGGAACACCCCGAAAGAUCGGAAACGGACACUAAUGCAAUUAAAGACCCACUGGCAGAGGAUUAAUACGAAGAUCGCCCACUUCUAUGAUUGCUGGUGCCGAGUUGAGGCAAAACAUUCCUGUAUCCAGUCUGAGAAAAUGCAACUGAUGGACAAAACAUGGGUGAUGUAUAAUGAGGAAGCACGGGAGAUGUACCUUGAGGAAGCAAAACAUCAUUUCGCCCUCAGCCAUUGUUGGAAAGCUGUUUGGGAUCAACCCAAGUGGAAAAGACACGUCUCUUCUUUAUACUUCAAGAAAACUGAGUUGUCUGAAUCUGAGGACUGCACAUCAUCCUCCGAAGAUGCACCUGAAACAGAAACAGGUGAACAGGGUAGCGUGCCUGCGAAGAAGAAACACAAAGUUAAUGGUAAGGUGUCAUCUCCUCCAUCAGAGUUGCAAGAAGACAUUCAGUGCUCAGUGUAUCCUGAAAACAUGAUUGAGAAGAAUCUCAAGGAGAUGACAGAGGCAGAGCUUCAGUGCUCUGACCGAGAGCUUGAGCUGGCCAGAUCGAAUCAGGUGGAAAUGAAGGACAAGGAAAUGAUAAUAUCUGAAAUGCAAACAGAUCUGUUGAUGGCUGACACAUCAAGGAUCCAUGAGUUUCAGCAUGGAAGAGAUGGACUGAUGGUUGACACUGCAAGGCCUAAUGAGUUUCAGCACGGGAGUGCAGUGAGGGAAGAUGUGCAUGAAAAGAAAACACAUCCACAAUGUCACAAAACGUUAGACCAUGCAGGGACAGUGAGAGGUGAUAUUCCUGAGAAACAAACAUACCCACAAGGUUCAAAGAUGUCAAAUUUCAAGCGGAAACGCAAAGGGAAUGCAUCAACUCCUCCCUCAGAAGUUCAGGAAGACAUUAAACGUGCAGUGGAUCUGCAGGCCAUGCUCCAGAAGGACCGUGAGAAGAUGUCGGAGGUGCAGCUCCGCCUAUCGAAAGAGAAGCUUGAGGUAGCCAGGUUGAAGCAGCAAGAAGCAAAGGACAGGAAGGAAACGACACUCUACGAGAAGUAUACGGAACUGUUGAUGGCCAACACUCAGAGGUUUGAUGAGUUCCAGAAGGAAGAGCACCGAAAGGCAGUAAAGCGCAUGGGGGAGAUGCUGUUUGUUAACAAUGGCAUGCCACUUUCUUCUAGUAACCUUAAGCACAUGUAGUGGAUGUCUGAAAUGUUAUAUCUGAACUUUGAAGCAUUUGCACUUGGUUUCAUUAAACACCUGUAGUGAAAUGUUAUCUUCUUGGGAGCCUGAGUGUACAGUUGCUAAGUGCCACUGGCUGGGGCUCGAACCAAGGUGACCCUUUUCAAAAAGGAAAAAAGAAGUUAUCUUCCCUGAGAUGGGCGUCAUGUAUGUAUGAAUAUUGUUUCUAGUCGGUGUGGCACCUGUUUCUCCUGGCAAGAAUCCUGAAAAAUGUUCACGAAUUGAGUCAUGGGCUGGAGGAGCAGAUCAGCAGACCAAAACCAAGUGCAUGUGCUCCGUGUGGUGCUUGCUCCCUGCAUGAUAGCAGCUCAGUCACUAACAUGGUUAUCCUUGUUUAAUCCGUCAGUGAGAAGCAGAUUUCCAGGAGGCCAGGAGAUCAACAAUUUGCAGAGAUAGGGGCGAAAGAAUUAGACUCCCAUAUGCAUCAGCAGAAAUGGAUCGAUAACUCACAGCUUAUCAGGAUUUACUACUCAAAGCAUCAUCACGUGCUUCAUAACAAGUUGAUCUGAAAUACUUCAUGCCCUGAGCCUUGGUACUUGCAUGCCAUGAUGUGAACAUGGAGAUUGGAGAUGUUUCAUUUCCUCGUUUUUCAGAGAUGGGAGCAGGCUCCUAGCAAUGGAGAUGAGGAUAAUUAUGAGUCGUGUCAUCUCUGGAUUGACUACCUGUUGCUGCUAAGUGAGCUCCCAUGGGCAACAAUAGAUGGUAGCUAGUCACCAUUGUCCAUUGUAGAGAUGGUAUCCUUGACACAAACAGAGGGCAACAAAGGACGAGCGUGGAGACACGGAAAUCAAAAGGAACAGUUGCUGUCACUAGGGUUAUAAAUUAUUCAAAUGGGUCGACACUUGAAGCCUUGAAUUUCGAUGGUUGCAAACUUGAAUGAAUUUAUAUACACAAAGUAAAUAUUCGAUGGUCACAAUUAAAAAAACAGUGAAUAUACAUAAACUGUGUAGUUUGAGCUUUUCAAUUUUAUUGGAAAUCCAGUAGUUUGUGUGUACGAAUCUCCCAGUAUGAAGCAGAGCUGCAGAAACAUCAGUAGUGAGCAACCCCAUUAGUUUUAGUUCCUGCAUUUUUGCCGCCGCUGCAUGCGCGCGUUGUCAGCGUCUGAAGCUUGUUGGCAACCUCCUUCAUGGUCGGCCUCUCCUCGCUGCUCAAGCUCAGGCACUGCGCCACCAGCUCCGCGGCUUCGUCUACCACCUCCAACCCGACCACCGCCAUGACCCGGCCAUCCAUAACCUCCCGGUGCUGCCCCGCUUGCGCUGCCGCGAGGAAGCUGAAGGCGAGGCACCCGUCCUCCCUGUCGUCCUCCGCGCAGAACGCCUUCCUCCCGGUGAGGAGCUCCAGCACGACCACCGCGAAGCUGUACACGUCGCUCUUGCCGGUGAGCUGGCACGUCAGCAGGUACCCCAGGGUCCCCUGCACCAGCGCGGCCACCGCCGCGCCGUCCGCCGGCGCCACCCGCGAAGCGCCGAAGUCGGACACCUUGGCGUUGACCUCGCCGUCGAGCAGGAUGUUGGCGGUCUUGACGUCGCGGUGGAGGAUCGGCGGCGAGGCCGACGACUGUAUGUACGCGAGCGCGUCCGCGGCCUCCGCGGCGAUGCGGAGGCGCGCGUCCGCCGGCAGCACUAGCUUCUUGCCGCCGUCGCCGGUGUGGAUGUGGCCGUGGAGGCUGCCGUUGGGGACGUACUCGUAGACGAGGAUGGGCGCCUCGACCUCGAGGCAGCAGCCGAGCAGCUUCACCACGUUGCGAUGGUUGAUCUGGGAGAGGAUGAGCAUCUCCCUGGCGAACCCGCUGACCUGCUUCUCCUCCAUGACCCUCGACCUCUUAACGGCCACGGCGGAGCCGUCGGCGAGGACGCCCUGCCCUCCGCGGCCGAGGACCCGCGCCUCGGCGAACCCGUCGGUGGCCUUUCUCACCUCCUCCUCGGAGAAGAUCUUGAAGGUGACGCCGGAGCUGGCAAGGGAGCCCAGCUGCUGCUGCAGGAGGAGGCCGCCGUGCUGCUCGAAGAAGCGCCGCUUUGCUCGGAGCAGCCGCUUCUUCUGGAGCCACAGGUGUGCCGAGAAGCAAGACACCAGCGGCAGGAACACGCCAAUGCUCACACCUGAAACGAACCCGGAUUCAACACGUUUGCCAAUUGAUAAUCUGUUAGUAAAGUGAAACUCUAUUAGUUUGAAGAUUUUUCUAUCGAAUUAUGUCUGUAUACCUGUGACAGCCUUGAGUGCUAGCGUGAACUUGUCAUCAGGGCGGCAGCCGUCUGGAAUAGUAGCAUUCCCGCUGGAUCCCUUGGGACGUGCAGGUGAAGCUGCCCGGCGUGUUCACGCACACCCCAUAGCACGGGAACUCAUCCUUGCGCUGGCACUCAUCAACAUCUGAUGAUCCGUCGUUACAUCCAUUUCAAUCAAUGUCAGGGAUCGAUCACCGGCACAUCGAUCACCAGACACAAAUAAAAUGACAUUAUUUCAAGGAAUAUCCAUGGAUGAUCUGAAUACCGUACCUGUGCAGCCGUUCGUGACGUAGGGGUUGCCCUCGUACCCGCCGGUGCAGUUGCAGGUGUACCCGGGGCCGUUGCUGGACUCGAGGCAGACGCUCUGCGCGCUCCGGCACGCGUACGCGGUGGGAUCUCGCCGCGCCGCCGCGCAGCUCGGAGCGUCACUGAUGGCCCAGUCCAGGACCACGGGCACGGCGAAAUCACCGGUCCGGUUGAAGUUGGUGCCGGCGAGCCAGAACCAGAACCACAUGGCGUCCACCAUGAACGCGUAGGAGCAGCCGGUGGAGUUGGCCAAGAGCGUCGUCGUCAUCCCCAGGUUGACCACUUGACCUGCUGGCCGCCGCGGCGGGUGAAGCUGCCGAGGUAGAGGCGGUAGGUGUCGAGGCCUAAAGGGUAUGUUGUUCUGGCAGCAGCCGUCGUGGCCCCGGCACGAUCCCGGCAGCGGCGUGCUCCCCGACGGCCGGCACACCGACAUGCACCCUGCGACGUAGUCCCCGCCGCCGUCCACGAAGUAGGUCAGCUCGGGGCAGCCGAUGGACACGAACUUUCUCUUCAUCGACGAGAAGAGGAACGCGCUGCCGUUGAGCACCAUGGGGUGCUCCAGGACGCUGGCGGCGGCGCGGCCGUCGGCGUCGCCGGGGCGGUCGUAGCACGCGCGGCUGGCGUUGAGGAGCACCGUCGCCUCGGCCGAGGGCAUCGAGAUGGCGGACACCUCGUGGCCGUAGCCGGCCACGCUGAGGCGCGGCGGCGUGUGGGCGUCGUCUCACUCGAGCUCGAAGCCCCGGCCACCGGAUCCGGCGGCGGCGGCGCGGUGGCAGCCCGCGCCGAUGCCGAAGGGGUAGGGGACCGUUAUGUUGCCGCACUGGUGCCGGCAUCCCGGCGGCUGCUGCGACGCCGCUGGAGACAGGAGUAGCACUGAUGACAGUGCCAGCCAUGGCGGCCGCCAUGCUUCCAUCAUAUUGUUCCUUGUUGCACAGCUCCAAACACACGCACCCAACUGUCUCUGAGUCUAGCCAGUUCGAGUACAAUGGCAGCUUCAGCUUGCGAUCUGAAUAUAUAGCACCUGCUGCAUGCCGUCGUAGCUAGAUGGCCAUUACUACAACGUUGGAUAAUCAAAUUGACCUUUAAAGAAGCCAUUGUUCAUUUGGGUCUGCGUGGUGGUCGGGCAGUAGACUGUCCAUGAAAUCAAUCAUUGGAAGGGAGGAAUAGGAAACAUGGUUGGCCGACUUGCCACCUGAAGUGUUCCCGAUGGCUAACGAAAUAUUCACUACCGGAAACAGGAAGUUCGCCGAGUGCCCCAGGCACUCGGCGAAGGCCCAAAAACACUCGGCAACGCAUUUGCCGAGUGUAACACUCGGCGAAACAGACUCGGCGAACUCUCCCUCGGCAAACAGGGGUUUCGCCGAGUGUCAUACAUCGGGCACUCGGCGAAGCUUCGCCGAGUCCCAAAAAACACUCGGCAAACAUAUUUUUGAAAAAAAAUAAAAAAAACAAAAACUCCGGCCGCCGCCGCCGCCGCCGCCGCCGCCGCCAGCUGCCAUCCACGCCCGCCGCACGCCGACACCCGGACCACCAGCACGCCGCCGCCGCCGCCAGCUGCCAUCCACGCCCGCCGGCCACCAUCCACGCCCGCCGCGGCCGUCAUCUUCUCCGGAGGCGCCGGGGCGUCAGGGGCCGGGUCGUCGUCGUCCGGUGCGGCGGCGCUCGGAUCCUCGGUGGGGGGAGGAGGCGGGCCGUCGCCGUCGAGCUCGUCGCCGUCGCUGCGCAACCACCGGCCGCCGCUGUCGCUGUCGCGGUGCAGCGGCGCGCACGUACUGGAGUUCCUCCAGUACAUCCACGCCCGCCGCCGCCGCCGCCAUCCACGCCCGCCGCCGCCGCCACCGCCAUCCACGCCCGCCGGAUCCGGGGCCCCCGACGCGAGACUCCGGCGGAUCCGGGGCCGGCGGCGGCGGAUCCGGGGGCGGCCGGGCCGGGGGCGGCGGAUCCGGGGGCGGCGGGGCCGGCGGCGGCGGAUCCGGGGGCGGCGGGGCCGGCGGCGGCGGAUCCGGGGACGGCGGGGCCGGGGGCGGCGGGCGGCGGCGGAUCCGGGGCCGGGGGCGCCGGGCGAUGGUGAUGGUGGGGGAGGGGCUCGGGAGGGAGGGGAGGGGGCGCGCUAGGCGAGGGAGGGGAGCCGGCGGCGGCGGAGGCGGGCGGCGGCGGCGGCGGCGGCGGCGGCGGAGGCGGGCGGCGGCGGCGGCGGCGGAGGCAUGCGGAGGAAGAGAGGAGAGCGGGGGGAAGAGGCGCGCGCAUGCGGAGGAAGAGAGGAAAGUGGGGAGGGGGCCGGGUGCGCGGGGGGGGGGGGGCCGGGGGGGGGCCGAUAUUAAUUUGUUGGGCGCCGUCUGUUUGCCGAGUGUCCUACGUGGACACUCGGUAAAGAGUUUCUUUGCCGAGUGUCCAACGUAGGACACUCGGCAAAAAUUUUUUGAAAAAAAUUUAAAAAAUAUUCAACAGUUUCAAAAAAAUACCAAAUUUUCACACGAACCAAUAUAGGUUCUCUACUGACUAUACAAAAAGUUUUGUAGUCAAACCGAACUCGACCGUCACUUCGACUCUAAAUUUUUUCGAAUCCUUCUCUAUUUAUGUCUGAUGCAACCGCCGUAUAGAUCAGUCUAUUUAACCCUUAUACUCCAUUCGAUUCCAAAUUACAGAUCGUUUUGAUCUUUUUAGGUUACAAAUUUUAAAUCGGUUUGACUUUUCUACAAAAUAAUAUGGUAAUAUAUGUGAAUAUAAAAAAACUAAAACAGAAAAGCUCGUCCCUACUCAUGCAAUAGAUUCUAUCUUAGAUACAACAACCUAUAAUUUAAGUAUGAAACAAUUUACUAAAACCCACAUAAUGGUUCUAGGAAUGGAUGCUACCUUCUAUACUUCUAUACGUGAUGACGUGGUGGCGUUAGACCCAUUUCUUUAUCCCCGCCUCCUCCGUACCACAGUACCAGGGAUGGUUCCCGGGCUCCCGGCUACAACGAGCCACAGCAUAGACUUUGACAGACACAACGAUUUACGAUGGUGCUUGGUUGAUUACCAACUUUUGGCGUGCCACAACGUUCUACCAGUUUUCCCGUUGUUUUUCUCGCCAAAGGCUGCCGAAGGUUGGGCGUCGAAUUUUCCCGCCACAUGUUGGCAUGGCUCGUUAAUUACCGCCAGCAACCAAGCAGAUUCUGGAUCUCUUGUUUCCUCCUCCUCCUCCCAUUAUUCCUCCUUCCCGAAUAUAAGAAACUGACAUAGUUGCCAUGGAAUUAAACAGAUGAACCCUUUGAUAUUUUAUGCUAGUUAAGCUACAUUUGUUAACUUGGGAGAAUAUGCUCAAGCUUAAUUUCUAGAGGGGAUUAUUGGGAUGCCUUUUAAUAGUGCAAACUGCAAAUGUAUGUUGAUUUCACUAUAAAAAAGGGUUUUUAGGGACCGUUGAAACGGCAUUUGCAGGGGCCAGCGCACUACCUGCUCCUAACUUUCGCAGCUACAAAUAGUUGUUUGCAGGAGCGGGUAAAAGGUCUGCCCUUGUAAAGCCGUUUCCAGGGGAGAGUGAUGGCUUCACCCGCCCCUGCAAAUAGCGUUUCCAAGGACGGGUCACCCCGUCACCCGCCCCUAGUAACCAAUUAAAAAAAUAAAAAAAUGUGGGGACCCAAGGUGCUGCCGGCCGUCGAGCUCCCGCGCCUCGAGGACCCACGGCUUCAAUUUUGAAGGCAUGGAUCGUUGACGUCGCAGUAUGUGUUUCUUUCUUGAGCUUAUAACGAUUUUUUUAGACCAUCAAACGAUCUUAAAUAAAAAAGUUGUCAACUACAAAGUUUUAGAUCUCGUCGAGCUCUACAACUUUAUUACAAAGUUUAUCUUUAUCUGAGAUUAUAUGAAAAAAUUAUGAUUUUUUUGCGCAAAACCAUUUUUAGGGGCGGGUCAUGCCAUCACUCAUGCCUAGAAAUAAUUUCCGGGGCGGGUGACACCAUCACCCACCCCUAGAAAUUAUUUCCAGGAGUAGCUGGUGCCAUCACCCGCCCCUACAAUUAUUUAUAUAUUUUUAUUUUUAUUUUAAAAUAAUUUUUUGAGUUAUUAAAUGAUCUCAAAUGCAAAAAUUGUCAACUACAAAGUUGUUUUGUCUCAUCGAGCUCUACAAUUUUGAUAUAAAGUUUAUAUUCAUCCAAGAUGACCUGAAAAAGUUUAUAUUCAAAAAAUACAUCCAAUAAACUCAUUCACACAUACUCACAUAUAUACUCAUACAUUCACAUAUUUUAUACAUUAACAUAUACUCACGCAUAUACUCAUUUAUUUACAUAUAUUUAUAUACAUUUAGACCUCGUUGAGUGUUACAACUUUCAUAUAGAGCUUCUCUAUAACCGAAGUCCUUUGAAAAGUUUAAAAUUUGUAGAUUUCAAAAUUAGAGGACUUACAUAUAACACAUUUUGGAGUAUCGAACAAUCCCAAAUAAAAAACAUGCCAACUUCAAAAUCUUAGGUCUCAUCGAGCUCUACAAUUUUCAUAUAGAGCUUCUCUAUAGUCGACCUCAUUUGAAAAUUCAAAAAAUUUAUAUUUCAAAACAAGAGAAGUUAUAAUGACAUUUUGAAAUAUUAAAGAAAUUUCAAAUUGAAAACUUGUCAACUUCGAAGUUGUAGGUCUCAUCGAGCUCCACAAGUUUCAUAUAGAGCUUCUCUAUAGUCGACCUCAUUUGAAAAUUCAAAAAUUUUAUAUUUCAAAACUAGAGAAAUUAUAAUAAUAUUUUGAAAUAUUAAAUAAUUUCAAAUUGAAAACUUGUCAACUUCAAAAUUUUAGGUCUCGUCGAGCUCUACAAGUUUGAUGUUGAGCUUCUAUAUAGCCAAAGUCAUUUGAAAAUUCAAAAGUUUUAGAUUUUAAAACUAUAUAACUUAAACGGAUAUUUUGAAGUAUUAAACAAACUAAAAUGAAAAACUUUUCAACUACAAAGUUUUAGCCCUCGUCAAGCUAUACAAUUUUGAUAUAAAGUUUGUCUUCAUCGACGAUCAUAUAAAAAAUUUAUAAAUUUAUUUCCACGGGAUCAUUUCUAGGGCGGGUCAUGUCAUCACCCGCCCGUGGAAAUCAUUUUCAAGAGCGGGUGAUGCUAUUUCUAGGGGCAAGUGAUGGGGUGACCCGCCCCCUGAAAAUGAUGAUGUCUAGGCGCGGGUCACCAUAUCACGUAAUGUAAUGUCGUACGUAUAUCUAUGAGCCCACCAGAAGGUUUGGACGGUCCUAAAUAUGAGACUGGACACCGAGACGCAUCUGACAUGGAGACCAUAGCGCAGGACGGCGUAGUCUACAUGAAAAGACAGGAAGUAGUCAAGGAUUAGGAAGUACUCGUUGUAAUAAGAGUAGAACUCCUCUAGUCGUAUCCAACUAGUAUUUUUGUAACUAACCGACCUGUAACCCCGCUCCCGACAAUAUAAGGUGAGGCAGGGACCCCUCCAAAGCAAUUCAAUCCAACCAACACAUAGGAUGUAGGGUAUUACGCAAUCUAGUGGCCUGAACCCGUCUAAACCGUGUGUCUGCGUUUACCUUCGAGUUUAUGAUCUCGACGAGCCCCACUAACCAAAACAUUACCUUGAGCAUCCCCCUCGGUAGGUUGCUGAGUUUAAACACCGACACUCACCCCUGAAAAUAGCCCCCAUUUCUAGGGAUGAGUCGCCCCAUGACCCGCCCCUACAAAUGCUUUCAAGGCGGAUCGGUUGCUACAGUAGUCCCGCUUCUUUUGUAGUACGGGUGGCAAUUUCACCCGCUCCGACGCUCCUGUAAAUCGUUUUAUAGUAGUGCUCGUACUUGUUUUCUUGGGGGAGAACCUGUGUGAAAUGAAAUGGAAUUGAAUGCUCAACCACUGCGCUGUUGGUUCAUGUGGUUCUAAAAACUAGAGACGAGUCAACGACGAGCAUGAUGACCACGACAGCUUGGUGCUUAUGGGCUGCGACCAGCGAGGAUACGUUGCACAACGCAACAAGCAAAUAACUGGGUAUUAUUCAAAGACUCACGAGGAUGCGUUGUACGAAUGCAAUGCAACGAGCAAAUAGUUGGGGUUUUUUUUUAUAACCUGAACUGGAAGAAAAUCGAUGCGUUUUCACGAUUGCAGAUGGCGCAAUAUGCUACAGCUGCGGCGGAUCAUGCUUGCAAAUUCUUCAAAUUUAAAAACUGCUUCGUAUUGUCAUUUGGAAACUUUUAAUUUUAAUAAAAACGUUUUGACGGCACAUAAUGCGAGAUACUAAUCAGGCUGAAUGUACAUGCUUGCAAUGCUAAAAAAGCUGCUUCGUGCGAUAGGAAACAUAUACUAACGCCAGACUGAUGGCCUCGCGCAUGGCGCGAGGAAGCAUAGAAGAGUAUUCGUUUGGCAAUUCCGUGGGAAGUUAUCAGCUUGAUUGAUUGGUUUCUCGCGAAAGGGAAAAGAAACACGGGCCAGGAGCGCCAUUCAUGGGGAAGUGGGCUUAGUUUCUGCAACUGAUGAGAUAUAAUACUGGGCCAAACUUGCUUGUUGCUGGCCGAUGCAUGGGCCAUCUGCCCCAGGGCCGGCCCUGAAGCAAAAAGGAUCGGAACUGAAGUAGAGAGAGCAGAAGGUUUUAUGAGUUUCAGAAGGAACAAGAGGGCUGCUGAUGCGGUUUGCUAAAGAGAUGAAGCUUGCUUUCAAUCAAAAGCAGGGCCAGAGAUGGUCUUUUAUCUAAAAGAGAUGAAGCUUGACUUCCUUAAUCUCAUGUACUGAAAAUCUGAAAUGUUUACCCGCGUUGCAUUGCAAAGUUCGCGAUGCCAUGGAACACCUGCAAUCAAAACCAUGCAUUUUGCAAACUGUUCGAUGCCUGCCCGGUUCGUUUUUCUUUUAUAAAAAAGAAUCUAGUUCAAUGCUCUUACCGGUGAUGGUUAUGCAGAGUUUCUCCAGCUGCUAGGCGUGGAGUAGACCGAAAAUGAAAAUCACAUAUACUGCAUUGGCAGGUACGUUCUUUCCGCACAUGAGCUGCACCUUAUCCUUUUCUCUUUCCUUAAGACCAGGUUAAAGGCUUGAGCUCUUUUACGGUACAUAAUACUAUUACUUAGUGGUAGUGGUAUAUAGUAUAUAUAAGAUCUAAUUAUUCAUUAUUAUGGAUAAUUUAGUAAUUAUUACAUAGUAAAAAGUGAUAUUUCAAAUGGAAUGGUCUUUUAAAUUUUAUGCUAGUGUCAAAAAUAAAAUUAUAGUAAUUUCAUUUAUGUUCUUUUACCAUGGUACCCUUAUACUAACCGUAUUACUCAUGUAUACUACUCAUAUCACGGGGGAAGGUUUCGGAUGUUUUUAUACUUGAUAGUGAUGCUCUAAAGCAACUUGUAUAGUGAUGCUCAUACACCUGCUCGUUGCCAAUUGGCUCCGUAAAGGGGCAGAAUGAAUCGCGGCCUGACUGACACGAGAUCGUGUGGCAUCGAUCCACGCAUCACCCUGAUAACUUGCACGCACAUCGAUCGACAGAUCGUGGGCUGCACGAGCGUGCAGGCCACAUGGCAUGUGCUUCCGUGGUGCAGACUGCUCAUAACCCAUGGUACGCUGAUACUUGCUUGGUCAGGCACUAACAUGGCGAUCCCUGAAUCCUUGAUCUUGUCUGUCAGUCUGUGAGAUAGCACCAGAUUCCCAAGAGGUCAAACAACUAGCAGAGAGAUCAGAUCACAGCAAAAGAAAUUGCAGGCUCUCAUACGUUAUGCAAAGGUAACUGAAAAAGAUCAGUGGCUAACUGCUUCCCAUGCUUUUCCAGCUCCAGCAUCACCAUGUGCUUUGCAGCACUCCAGCAAUGAAGGCACGGUUUAGACUCCAAACAUGUUCAUGUUACUGUAUUAAACAUAAUAGCUGAAAAAAGAAUGUGAUAAAAAUCCUCAUCACUUUUUCUGCACACAUAUCUCUUAAGAUAUCAGCAGUCUCAUUGACUGAUACUACUUUGAAGUGGGGAUGCUAAUCAGAAGCACUGUAGUUGCUACCUCAAAAAGUAUUUAACGGUAGGAAUCAAUCAUUCACGCACAUUGGACAUAGGAGGCAAGAUGGAAGCUCAAUAGACUAGGAAUAAUAAGAGUAGUUCACAGGAUACAAGAAGCUAGGAACAUGACCGCGAGAACUUCGAAGCCAAGUACAAUGCCAUGGAAGAAAAGGUGAUGUUAUACUACAGUGGAAAAUGAUGCAAAACAAGAGCAAUGAUUAUGGUCCAUCUGAAGCUGACCAUCAAUUCUAUCUGAAGCUUCCCGAGAUUAUCUAUGUCUAGUUCUUCCCCUUCUUUUGAGCACUCUGGAAGUGCUCAGAAGGCAGCAUUGAGAAUGAGCUGCCAGAAGGCUCUCCUGUAAAUCCAUCAGCUGGCCCGAAACUGAAAUUGAAGGAACCAAAGUUCGCUGUCGAGAGGAAGUCAUCGCUGCAGCCAUCGACCCCUUUGAUAUCCAGGGCAUUUUCAUUACCUGAGGAGGUACCCCACACGAAGCUGCUGCCCAUGGAGCUUGGGAGUUUCGCUGGUUCCUGGUGGCUCCCUACGCGACUGAUCUGGUCUGAAGAAGUCUUUGGCUCCUCUGUUGGCAACGCCGGGGUGUGUCCUUGGAACAGAGCUACGUGUGCGAAAAGCUUGUCCUUCCUUGUAAAACUUGUUCCACACGAGCACAGCCACUUGUCCCGGCCGCAGUGCUUCUCGUGCGUCUUGAGGUCGGCCAUGACCGAGAACUUCUUUGUGUGGCACCGGCUGCAGGUGUAGCUCUUCUCACAGUGGCUCCUCUUGUAGUGAUUCUUCACGCACAGGAUCGUCUUGAGGGGCUGGAAGUUCUUGUGCAGCUUGUUCCGCUUGCAGCCUACAAAUGGGCAAGAGUACCUCCUCACCAGUUCGUGCUCUGCGCUUGCGUUUCUAGGUGGCUUGGCUAGUGCGGCAGGGCUCUUGUACUCAUCACCAUGCCCUCUCAUGUGCAUUCGCAGAUUCGCAUCCCUCUUGAAACCCUUUCCGCAGAUGGAGCAGAAGUGCGUGUGUGGGGCCAAUAUCUCAUCCUUCUCCAGCUGCAGUAACUCAUAAGAGCCCGGCGGUAAGCUCUCUCCAUCCAUGCCAACAUCACCACCUUCAUCGCCAUCCUUUGCAUCCUGCUCCUCGACAAGAACAUUGCCAAUUUCAAUGCCUCCUUCCAGUGCGCCAUCAGUGAAACCCUUGAAAAGUUCUUCGUAGUCCUCAGGGCCACACAUUUCCUCCUUGUUCUCUUCAGAAAUGGUUGUCACAUUAGGAACGAAGCUCGAGCUCGACCCAACAUGGUUAACGAUGCCCAUAUGUCCAGCUUGGGGGUGGCUCAGAAAGGUCGAGUUCUUUAGUGAUGGGAGAAGGCUACCGGCAGUAGAGAUGAGCUGAACAAUGAGGCAUGUCAGGUCUGCAUUGACCACCUGCUGCUGCUGAGCGAGCUCCCCUGGGCGUUGGCCACCAUCGUCCACCAUUGUACGGAUUACAUCCUUCACUUGCCGUAUCUUCUCCUCAAUGAAGGUAAGGUUGUCUAGCAUGGUAGCCGGGUUCCAAUCCAUGUGGGGAAUGUUGGUGGAUGGAGUGGCACCAAAUGGCGAGGUGAAUGACGCAAAUGGUUGCUGAACUCCCAUGCCAAGGAACGGAUUGUCUGAACCGAACUGGUAGCAGAAGUUCGCAGCAGAUUGGCCAUGGAUGUGGUUCUGACUGUGAUCCAUCUACGAUCAACUUCCAAAAAAAAUCUCGCUUUUGAAUUCAGAGGGAGACUCUAGUCUGCACUCUGCAAAAAAGAAGAGUUCAAAUGAAAGACCAUUAGAACCAACCAACCUGCAGAUUUGAGCAUUCAUGGUUCGCAGAUGCUCGAGUGCAUAUAUAGGCUCAACGUAUUAGCUGAUUGAUGGGUAUAAACAGCAUGUAGAAAAUUUCAACACAGCCCAAGAGGUUGAGGCAGGUACUUAUAAAAUUUUCAAGUGUAAUUCAGAUGACGAGUUAGGUCCUAAGGCAAAGAGAGGAGCAAACAAAGAAAUUAGCAUAUUUGAUUACUCAGAUUGUUUUGUUGCCAGAUGAAGAUAAAUGGUACCAAACUUCCAACACUCCACUAAUCCAACAAGUUAGCUCAGCACUCCAAGCAGUGCGGUCGUACUAAUGAGACCAUGAUGUAUGGAGUAUUUGUAGUUUGGGUAGAGACCGUACUUCACCACUAAUUACUGCACACUAUGAUGUACUUGUAGCCUCGUAGGAGGAAAAAAAACUGACCUUUGCAUAAAGGGGCCAUCUUUGGUUCAGAGGAGCCAAAGAUUUCACGAAAAUUGACGGCACAAUAAUAAAAGAAAGGGGGUGAAAGGCUUGGUCGUCUUAAAGCCAAUCGAUCUCCUUGAUGGGAGAAGAACACCAGGACCUUUAAUUGUAGGAAAAAUUGGGUUCGUGACACCGAAAGAUUCAUGAUUUAGAAAUUUAUCAUCGAAUCAUUCCGGUACACUUUAAUACCAUCAACAGAUGUCGCCGUUUAGAAUUUUACCACUCGGUCACGUUUUCCAUCCAUACUGCCGUUUCUUCACUAUUUCUCUUCCUUCUGCCGUUUGGCUCUCAACCUUUCUUCUCUCUCCAACCAGUGAACGGAGGAGCUGCUCCCCCUCCAACCAAACCAGAGGAGCCGGCGAGCCGCAUGUGCUUGCUGCUUUCAUUGGUCAGGAAGUGAAGGGCCCUUGCUGAUGCGUGCUGGGUCUGGGUGCUGCCACUGCAGGAUCUAAUUCCCUUGCCAUGGCAUGUACUACAGCAGUAGCAGGCAGCGAGCUGCAAAUCCUCAGUGCCCAGCUCUAAAUCGGCUUCAUCCUCAAUGGAACACGAAUCCAUUCAGCUCCUCUGCAGGUGACAUAAUGUACUUGAGCCCGACGGGGAGAGGUGCCGUGUGACGGGACACAGUUGGCUCCCGGCGGACUUUGGCGUAGCCAAGCUGGGGCAGCCAUGGCUGGAAGCUAGCUUGGGCGCAGUGGCCGAGCCGAGCUGGGGGCGAAGAAGUGGGUUGAUGCGCGGGCAGAGCGGCGGCCUGCGGCCAAGCCAAACUGUUGCGCGGCUAUGGGGCAAGGUGGAGCUGAUGUGAGGCGUGGCCAUGGGUUGAGUAGGUUGAGGCACGGCGGCCUGCGGGCUGCCGCCAACAACCUGGGCGCGGCGCUUGCGCCAGAGACGGAGAAGAUGAACAGGAAAUAACGGAGAUGACGUGGGAUGGAUGAAAAAUGUCACGGAAUGGUAUAUUUCUUGACAGGUGGAAUCUUUUUCAAUGGUAUUAAAGCGUACCACAUCAGUUCGCUGGUAAAUUUCUAAAACAUGGAUCUUUCAGUGUCGCAAACCCAAAUUUUCCUUAAUUGUACCAAGAACAUCCGAUCCGUUCCUCUUGUCGAGAUCUCAAGACAGAACUAACGCCCUCUCGAAGAAUCAAGCAAAACAAAAGCGAGACACCCUUGCCAGGAAGGAAUCGCCUCAAGCUCAAGCGUGCGAGUCGCCAGUGACAUACCAAAAGAGGAUGAGCCGGAGGAGCAGCAGGCGUCGGCGGAGGUCGUCACCAUGAACCGGGGGCAGGUACGAUGAGGAGGAAGGAGCCGGGGACCAAGGCGGGGGCAGGUACGAUGAGGCGGGGGGGAGGGGUAAAUAAUUGCCCCCCUCGACCUCGAGAGUCCCGAUCCAUCCUCUUGGCUGCUGCUCGUCACCUCACCUCUCACCUGCGUUGCUGCCUCUGCUGCCCGGUGCCCGCUCGCUCGAUUUGUUUAGGGUGUGUUUGGUUCCGAGGAUGGAAUGGGAUUGAAUAGGAUAGUCUUGGCUAGUAUUUGGUUAGGAGACACGGGACGAGUCCAUUUAUAGGGGAAUAUUCGGUGCAGAUGUGGGACGACUCAAUUGGCCCAAAACGAGCGGAUAGGAUUGUCCCACUUCAACGCAGUCGCGGGAAGGGCCGGCGGGGGCGAGCGUGAAGGGCCGGCGGCGGGUGAGCUCCGCGGCGCCCUCCAUGGUCGGCGGGGCGAGCAGAGGCCCACAGCGGCGAGCUCUGGCGAGCUUGGAUCUCGACGACGGCGGAGUGAAUCGAGUCAGCGGCAACGGCCACAGGUAUGUGACCUCCGACACGGCUAGUGCAGGCGAGCGGGAGCUCGCGGGCGGCGUGGGCCAGCUCGAGCGCGGCUGGCGUGGGCGAGCUGGAGCUCUACGGCCGGCGUGGGCGAGCGAGCUGCUCCCCGACUGGCGGCUCGAGCAAGCUGGGGAUGGAGGAGGAGAUGGAGAUGGAAGAAGAUAAUUGAAAAAAAUAGAUAGACAAUGACAAAUAGGGUCCAUUGACAGGUGGGGUCUAUUUACUGUGUCUAACGGUGUUAAAAUCGUUAUCCAUCCCAUCCUCUCGAUCCCUCGUACCAAAUAAAAAAUUGGGAUGGACUUAUCCUUCUCAACCAAACACGAAAUGGAACCGUCCCAUCCAUGAAAAUGGGGACAGGAUCGUCCCAUCCCAUUUCGUCUCCAAACCAAACACACCCUUAGUACACGGGCGUGCACAGAUGCCUAUGACAGUGGCAUCACAUGAUCGAUUAUGCAAGUGUCCAUCCUUUGCAUAUAGUGUACUUCACUUAGACCCUGUUUGCUAGCUGCGUAUAGUGUACUUCACUUAUACCCUGUUUGGCUAGCUAAGUUUAGUGCAUAGCUGUUUGAUACAGGGUGUUAAAAUUUAACACAUGUCACAUCAGAUGUUUGGAUGCUAAUUAGGAGUAUUAAAUUUAGGCUGAUUACAAAAUUAAUUCCACAUAUGGAGUGUAAUUCGCGAGACGAAUCUAUUAAGCCUAAUUAGUCCAUGAUUUGACAAUGUAGUGCUACAGUAACUAUUUGCUAAUGAUGGAUUAAUUAGCUUAAUAAAUUCGUCUCGCAAAUUAGCACAGGAUUCUGCAAUUAGUUUUAUAAUUAGCUCAUAUUUAGUUCUCCUAAUUAGCAUCCGAACAUCCGAUGUGAUAUUGUUAAAGUUUAACACCUCAUAUUCAAACACCCCAACCUGGACUAAAGGGUAGCCAGGCAAAAAGCCUAGUCCCCCGUGUGGCGCUCUUGCCCCACUCCCUGUGCUGUGCAUGUGAGGGCAUUUGGGUCUUUGUCCAUCCGUGAGCAGCUUUUAGUCGCUUUUAGUUGCUUUUAGCUCGGCUGAAGCAGCUAACGAGCUAAUCGUUAGCUGGGCACUUGGAUAAAAAUUAGACGGCUUUUAGAUGCCCCGUUUGGAGCCUGCCGGCUAAUUUUUAGCGUUUACCCCCUCCGUUUCAUUUCAGAUUAUAAUUAUUCUAAUUUUUUGACAAUCAAAACAUCUUAAAUUUGACCAAAUUUAUACAAUAAAGUACUAACAUUCAUGAUACUAAAUAGUUACCAUUAGUUUCUUCAUUAAAUAUAUUUUCAUAGUAUAUCUAUCCGCUGUCAUAAUUUUUUUGAUCUUCUCUGUAAUUUUAGUUAAACAUAAAAUAAUUUGUCUCUUCAAAAAAGUUGAAAUGACUCAUAAUUUGGAACAGAGGGAGUAAUUUUUAGCAGGGGUCUCCAAACAUAAUCUUAGACCCUAUUUGGAUCCGCUCCAACUAAAGUUUAACGAUACAUGCCCUUUUUAACUAGCUAAAGUUUGGAUCCACCAGCUAAUUGCUAAUUUGUGACCAUACUACCCUUCAUCUAAUUGCCCCUUCAUCUGCUCGAUUUGUUGGCGCCAGCAUCAUUUUCCCGGGUGCCAAGACCUGCUGCUCUUCUCUGUUUGCCUCUUUAAUGGGAUCGAGCGAACGGGGAAGGGGGGAGCAUUUACUGCAGUGGCGGUGGGUAAGUACGCUGAACACUAGGUAUUACUACGGUCUUUCACCACUUUUAGGUGGUUUAGCUCAAAAUCUCGCGGGACCGCAAGAUUUCUAGGUUAGAUUCCUGGGUUGUAGCUAAAGUUUUAAGCUGAGUUUUAGAUGGACCUGUUUGGAUCCUUAGUAGCUAAAUUUAACCAGCUAAAAUUUUAGAAACAGGAUCUAAGUAACUCGGUGUACCUCAAUACUAAUUAGGCGUCGUAUGCGAGAGAAAUAUUUGUACCCGACUACUCCAACGGUAGAUCAAUAUUGUGAAAAUUAAUUUCACAUUAGUUAGAUCAAUAUUGUGCUUGUGCAAACAAAUUUCACCGCUGAUACGGCCCGUUAUUCAACAGAAGAGGCGGCUCUUUAUGCUAUGUUUAUAGAGUAUCACGCUAGAAUUGUGUAUGCAUUUUUUUUCGCAAAACAGAAUUGUGUAUCAGUAUAUGCAAUUUCCUCCAUAUGCCAAUUCAACUAGCAAAAUGGCUAGUGAGGUUUCCAACGUACUUUGUAUGCAGCGUGGCAUCAAGAGGCAAACACUACUGCGCUGUCUUUGCAUGUAGCAAUAUAGUUCAGCAAAAUGGACACAUCUUACUAUACUUGUAUACGUGGACAUCUUUCAUCACUACUCCACGGCUUGCUUGGUCAGGGCAUAGUAAACGAAGACGUAGAUUCUUUCCCACUAGGCAAGAGCCGUGAAACCAGCCUCGACGCAGCGAAGACGUAGAUUCCAAAAAUCCGCCUUCGGACGCUGCGUGCCAUAAAAAUCUGUGCUACACUUCACUUUGACACUUUAUUACUCGUGCGGUCGUGGCCGCCCCCAACCGCUCCGCGCGCGCACCGGAUAAAGACAAACCGCCGCGGCACCGUCGCCAUGGCUCCCCUCCUCCUCCCCGUAUCCCUCCGCCCCCUCCCGUCCGCGAGAUCGGUAUCCCGGCCGGUGCCACGGCCGUGUCUCCCUCUCCUCUUCACCAAGCGCCGGCGCCUUCCCUCCGCCCUCCGACGAGUCCAAUGCCCCGCGGAGCCGGCGCCCCCGCCCGCGCCGCGGUGGCACGCGGCGCUUGCCACGGCGGCCGGGCUGUACCCGGCCUACGUCACGGCGGGCGCCUCCGUCGCCGUUGCGCGGCCCGAGGCGUUCCGGUGGUUUGUCGACAUGGCGCCGGGGUCGUACACCGCCACGCUCGGCUUCAUCAUGCUCGCCAUGGGCCUCACCCUCAACCUCAGGGACUUCGCCGCACUCCUCCGCGACAGGCCCCUCUCCGUACGUGGCCGGUGCAAACCCAUCCCUUCCUUGCUUCCUAGAAGCUUGAUCCUCUGAUUGAUGGCAUUUUCUCCAUGCCGAAUUGCCGAUCCAUUGCAAUCUUGGUUCGUCUCUGUGCUGCAGAUAUUGUUUGGGUGCGCCGCGCAGUACACCGUAAUGCCUGUGUUUGGGGCGAUCAUUAGCCGCGCGCUGGGGCUCCCCCCAUCCCUCUCUGCAGGCCUUAUCCUGCUAGGAUGCUGUCCUGGUGGAACUGCAUCCAAUGUGGUAAGAUUGUCAGCUGAAUUCAGUUUGUCACGCUCCAUAUUUCUAUUAAAAGUGUGGAUUUCCCCAUUAGUAUUAUUGUUUUAUAGUGAACUUAACUUUGCCAGUUAUGUACUCAAGUGAACUGAUUGCUUGAAGGGCUAAAUUAAGAAUGGCUAUGCAAUUGAGAGUUCAGAUGCAUUUGUUCAUUGAAAUGGGAGUUGAGUACCUUUUUUUUUUUUGAAACAAAAAUGGGAGUUGAGUACUUGGUUGUUUUAGCUUCUGGAGAAGCCAACGUCUGAUGUUCUGACAUGCACUGACACUUUAUCCUUUUUUAUGUUGCCUACAGAAGUGUACAUGUUCACCUAUUUACAAGACAAUGCUACCAAACUUCUGGAAAAUUGAAAAAUUGUUUCGAUUUUUUAACAGUUAUAAGCAGUUCCGUUUUUCUGCCUCAUGAUCCUUCUCUCCUAGAUGUGUCCUCCUAUGCACUGACCUAAUUGUUUCCUAUAGUGGUUCAGGUGACUUUAGUUGCUAAAGGCGAUGUUCCGUUAUCCAUCGUGAUGACUGUCUGCAGCACUCUUGCUGCUGUGUUCCUUACCCCUCUCUUAACGAAAGUUCUAGCUGGUGCUUACAUUCCUGUGGAUGCUGUUAAGCUUUCUCUCAGUACUUUGCAGGUGAAAUUUCUGACGCCAUUAGUUCAUAGCAAGAUUUUACUCAUAGUUAGUUUUGUCUGUCUCUGACCUUUUUUCCUUCUUCAGGUGGUUGUUGCCCCAAUUCUAUUAGGUUCUUCUAUACAAACAGCAUUCCCAUCGGUAGUUCAAUUUGUGACUCCUUUUGCACCUCUGAUGGCAGUCUUGGCUUCAUCGCUUCUGGCUUGCAGGUUCAGAUCCUUCAAACUUACCAUGUUAUUUUGGCUUGGGAAUAGGAGAAACCGUGCAUCCUUUUACCCUUUAUCUUUCAAUGUUACAGUGUCUUCUCUGAGAAUUUUGUACGCCUAAGUUCAACAAUUGCUGAUGCAUCUUCUGUGAAUGGAAACUUCUUCUCUGGGGAUAUCGGAGUUGUCAUGCUCUCUGUCUCCUUGCUGCAUUUUGCUGGUUUCUUUGUUGGGUGAGCACAAGAAUGCAUACUGUACCCUUUUAUGUGUGAUGCAAUUCACAAAUUUUGUAUCUUAUGGUUUUUUUUCAUUAAAAAAAGAGUAUAGUAGAACAGAACUUGGUGUGAACCAUCAAAAUUCAGUAAGCUACAAGUUACUGACAUUUGUCAUCCAGAUGUCUAAUUGUUUAGUUGGCUCUAUAACAAACAGGUAUACAGCAGCAGCUAUAAGUGGUUUGAAAGAAAAACAAAGGAGAGCAAUAUCAAUUGAGGUAUGGAUCCUGACCAGAUCUAACCAUAUUUCCCAAUUAAUAUGACCAGUAAAACGAAGAAGCAUAUUCAUUGUUGAAACCAUGUGUAUAAUAAAAUAAACAAACCAAGCAAGUCUUCCAGCACACUAGCAUUUCAUAUUAAGAGGUGUAAAGUACUUGGGAGGAUUGAGUAGCUGACUAGUCACAAACAUCAGAUUAUCAGUCAACAGAUUGUGUAAAUUAGUCCUCUCCUAUGAGGCUAUGACUCAAGUACCCUUCUGCUCUAGUAAAAAAAUAAGUGGCAUUUCAGUAUGCAUGCACUUGGAUAUCGUAAACUUGGGCUAUUCAGUAGCGGAGCCUCACAUCAAUGCCGGGGAAGGGGGGGUGCAUGGCCCCUUUUGGCCUCCACUACCCUCCACCACUCUUCAUAUUGGCCUUAUAUCUUGAAAAGUACUUUCAUAAUGUGUAUAAAUUUACUUGAACUUAUAAGUAUAUGUUGAAAAUAGUGUACAAUGCUGCAAUUUUUUUUUUGCAUGCACGUGUUGUCUAAAAACAUCACUUAUUUGUGACUGUUGGGAUUAGUACUGGCAGACUGUUACAAAUUCCAAUCAUAGUAUCAGAAAUCUUAAAACAAUAAUUCUGUUGCCUUGACCAUGUUUUAUUUUUUUAGAAUGCUUCCUACCUGAUUGUCUUUCAGAAUUAUGAUUAAGAGACUUAAUUUGAAUACGAUGAAAAAUGUUCAAUGGCCUUCUUUUUUCUCUGGAUUGCAGGUAGGAAUGCAAAAUUCGUCCUUAGGGGUAGUGUUAGCAGCUGCACAUUUCUCCUCACCCUUGGUUUCCCUGCCACCUGCACUCUCAGCUGUCAUCAUGAACAUAAUGGGUAGCACACUAGGUCUUGUAUGGCAGUAUAUCACACCUUCUGAUUUAGAGAAUGAAACCACCGGCAUGCACAAUGCAUGAUCAACUCUUACUGUUGUGUGCUUAAUCUCCUCUGUCAUGUCUUCUCCACAAACAUGCGUGGUGUUGAAACCAUGUCUCCUUUUACUUUAUUUAUCGUGCCCUUCUUCUGUUUUGUGGAUACUGUCGAUAACUCUGGAAACUUACUGCCUUCGUAAGCUUUGAAAUAACAACAUUCUUUUUUAAAAAGGAAAAAGCAACUACAGUCUUGCUUAUGUAGGCCAAUCUGGAUAUUAAAUUAAGUUAGUGAAGGAAAAAAAAUCUGGAACAGUUAACUUUUGUCUCAAGAAUCAAUAACUCAAACUUGAGGAGGUAUGAUGUCAUAUAAUAUCACUCCAAGUUGGAAGUCAAGAAACUGUACUAUACACAUCUGCAAACUAGGGGAGAAAGAACCCACAUUAUGUUUGUAAUCUGUGCAGUGUCUCAUGAAAUUACUUAUAUUGUUCAUAAUGUGAUGUGUUAAAAAUCUCCAAUUGGCAUUCAAAGGUAGGACUUGGGUUGCCUUCAUCUGAGGUGAGGCCACUGGUUCUCCAUAACCAGGUUUCUGAAGCAAGCUAUUUAUUUCUGUUGACUUAUGGCAGAAUGCUGGCUUAAGGACAGGAAAUCUGGCUUGCAAUAGUGCUAUGAAAUACAUUAAAAAAAAGUCACUCCUAAAAUUGCGAUCUUAGUCUAGGAUUGAUGCAGCCACCUAUAUUUGAUAUUUCUUUAGAGCUCCAGGAGAGCCUGUUUAGCUCUAAAAAAACUUUUUUGUUGGGCUGAGCCUCAUUAGAGUUGCAGGAUCCAUUUUAGUCCAGGACCAUCAUACAUGGUCCCCUUCUCACUUCUGCAACCAGAGGAAUAAUUUUGCAUGUGACUGCAAACAAAACCCUAUGCCCCUGCUUUGAUCUGGCUGUUAUUGUCAGUGCACUAGGAGGCAGGGUGUAAUGGCAUCAGUCAAGGGCAUGUACCAUUGCAUCGAUGCACUUGUGGCAAUGAUCAUCCAAGGUUGCAGCAACCCACAUGGAAAGAAAUGUGCUGGUUGGUGGGGUUCAUGGAACCAUGAGAACAGUCUGAUCUCUAUCCUUCUCCUCCUCAUCCUUAGACACAAGACUGCAGACUUGUUUAUAGAUUCUGAGCAAAAUAAAUCUAUGGGACAGCUGUGGAAUCAAUUGGAUCACUGGUUGUUUUUCUGGGAGCUGAAUUAUGCUGUUCAGAGAUGUUUGAAGGUCUGAUCAACACUAUGAACAGGACAGCUGUAGGAUUAUGAGAACCAUUUAUCAUAUUUAUUUUGUGUUUUUCCUGGAGUCGCAUGAUAAUAUCCUGGAAUGUCAACACCGUAGCAUGUCCAGAUCAGGUUUCGAUUUUCUGAAUCUUGGUCAGUGGCUAGCAACUUAGCAUCAUAUGGUCAAAGGAAGCUAUCAUGCGAAUGAUUCAUCAGGCUUGACCGGUCAAAUUUGUAUAAAAUCCUCCAUUUGCAUUGCUCUUAAAAAAAAGCAUCCUCCACUUGGCCAUUAGGCUGAUUGCAAACUGCGCGGUCAAAUAUGUUAAAAAUAUAUUAGUGAGCAUGAAUCUGACUGACAAUGGACUUUUGGUAAUGUUUUUUUGAAGCAAGGAAUUGUGGCAAUGUAGAGUAGAGCUCCAAAGAGCAUUAUCUUGCUCUCUCUGUUGCUGUUGAGCCAUGUGCGCAAAGAAUUUAUCCUUGAUAUGGUUUGGUAUGAUUCCUGAGCGUAAAAAAGAGAGGCAUGACGAUCUUGGCAGUGCCUCCUGAUAAAUCCAUGACCCAUUCAUAUGGCAUGUUGCUUUUAGCAAUGGCUGUUUUUCUCUCUAACCCUUGCAGAGAACAGGCAAUGGUUCUGACUUGGCUUCCCUUUGUUUAUGUUACUUUGCCGAAGCUGAUGUCGGCUACCUUUGUUCAAGUGGAGAUUAAUAAAGUUAAUUCACACUGAUCGGUGAUUAGAUAUUUAACUAAUCUCUACCUGACUGCCUCGUAGUUGCCAAUGCACAGCCCAAUGCCCCAAUCCAAAAGAGAAGGGGUAAUUCUUACAGUAAAUUCUACUUUUUGAGAACGUACAGUAAAUUCUACACUUACGUUGAAAUCAGCUUCGUCCUGUAAUUUGUGAGUCACGGCUAUAGCAUUGGUUCUUCUCUUAUGUUUUCAAAAAAUAAAACAAUAAUAAUUCUUUUAUGUAUGAAGAUGGUAUAACUAUUCCUUUUUCAUGAAAUAAAUUCAGAAAAAAAAUGCGAGCAACCACUCCAGUAUUCGCAUUAUGGUUUUCCUUGAAGAGACGACGAUCAAGAUGAUAUCCAAAUGUCCGCAUCACGAUUCGUUUAACUUGAUUUUUAAUAAAAAGAGGCUAUGAGAUGAUGGGGAAUAAAUUACAUCAUGACUGUUCGAUAUGAUCGACACACAAAAUAAUGUGCUCUUGUUUUUUUAUGUUCAUUAUUGCCACCUGGCAUUAUAAUUUCAAAAGGGAAAAGAACACAGACGAGACCGCAAGCCUAAUGAUGAUUAACAUGUUAGAACACUAGCUGGCUUAAAACUUGGAGCAACAUCGAAGAUUAAUUUGACAAAUGUAGUACAGUGUAUACAUGAACAGAAAUCAAGACGGGUCACUAUGCUUAUUUGGCAUUUUAUUUGUGUAAGCAGGCAACAUCAAUUUCAGAAGGUUAUGGACAGAGUCCUAUCAUAUCUGCAAUGUUUCCUAACGCUUUUGUUCGUCGGAAGACUUGCCCAAGAGUUUGGUGCAAAAAGUCAAAGACGACAAGGAGAUCAUUAGAUCAAUGCGUGGUUAGUGGGGACGCAUGUUAUCCCAUUGAAAAUGAACGGCUUUCACUAUCGUUUUAGAUUUUAUUUUUAUACAUGCGUGUUGUGUCUUUGUUUAGUAUUAGUGUUCAUCCCAUUGCACGUCUUGGCACCUUCCUUCUCAUGCAUCUCUGCAAAAUUUUAAAAGGAAUCAUUAGGAUAUGCGUCUGCAAAAGUGGUAGUUCCAUACCACUAUAGUACGGUACCCCCACGGAAAUGAUCUUUCGAGAUAGGUCAGGACUUACCAGUGCCAUGGCAAAUGGGCUUCAUUUUCGUCUUUGCGCAGGUUGGCUUUCAUUGUCAAAUAAGUUUUAAUUAAUCAACAGGCCCAACAAGAUUACUAUUUUUAACACCUAGCCACUUUCACGAAAGAAAACAUUGCAAUGUCUGAUCGGUGAAAAUGUACAAGGACAUGUGCCAAAGAGUAUUGUAGCACUAGCAUGCCAUUGCCUUCAACAAUCAUGAUAGGGCCCGGUGAGAUAUGAGCUCUCAGUCUAAUUGAACGGAGGCCUCAUUGAGAGGUUGGAGAGUUUCUUGCCAUACUCCUACAGUCCUGCAUAGCAAUAGUCCCACAGCCUCAAAUUGGAUAAGCUGGGAAUUUGGUGAUCGACGCCUAUCAUAAUUGAUGAACUAGUUGUAGAUGAGUUUUCCCAUUAUUGGCACCUCGUAGGAUUGGAUAAUUGUGCUAACGUAGCAUCUUACCAACUGAAAACAAAUUAUGGAAAUAAUUUCGAAUCCUGACGACGUGCCACGAUUAAUUUGAUAAUAAGGGUGCCACCUUCAAGUUUUCAGAUAACUUCAGUAUAUUUGUAUAAAAAGAUGAUACAAAAAUUUUAGUAUAUUAAACAGAAGCUCCAACAAUGUAGUGAUAAACUAUUAGAUAAAUAAAUAAAAGAAAUAGAAAAGUAAUGGAAAGGGGUAGUUUCCGACCACGUUGUCUUCCUCCUCUCUCCUCUCUCCUCCCCCCUCUGCGCUCUCUCCUCGCGAAGGGAGGCGAAGGCGAUAACCACCGACAUGCUCCCCCACAUGCCCUAGCGAUCCGUUCCCAUUUGUAGACCCAAUCCAAGGCCCGAGCAAUCACCAAACCUAGCCGUGUAGAUUUCCACCCUCACAUGGAGGAAAAAUCCAACCUUGGCAUGUGACCUCUCCUUAAAUCCCCCGCAGGAACCAAUCCAUCAAUCCCAGAGGGGAGAGAAGAACAGAGCAAUCCCGUUGCUCCUCAUCUUCGCCUUCCUGUUGGCGUUUCUCCUCUGUUCUUCGGCCUGCGCGGCCGCAUAAACCUCCGCUAAAGCUCCUCUGUCGCGCCCAAUUCGUCGGCCAUUUCCCCAGGAAUCCCCAAAGGCGAGAGCCCCCCACGCCAAGAUCCAAUCCUUCGAGUUAUUCGGUUCCAAUCCGUGUAGAUUUCCCCGGAAAGCUCCCAGAAUAGUAGCCGGAAUUGGAAAAGGUUUCCAUUUCUGAUUGGUCGACGGUGCGAAUUCGUCGAGCCUCGCCGCGGUUUUUUCCAGGAAGGGCAGGCCGUCCGUACGGUUACGGUUCUUGAUCCGGGGAGGAAUCACCGCCGGCGAAAGGAAAUGCAGCCGGACCCGCAAGGCCCGGGCAGGGGAAAGGCGGGCGGCGCCAAUGCGCACGCCCGGCUGCCGCCGCCGGUGACGACGGGGUCGGCGGGGCGGCCGGCGUCGGUGCUGCCGCACAAGACGGACAACGUGCGCGACCACUACCGCAUCGGGAAGAAGCUGGGGCAGGGGCAGUUCGGCACCACGUACCAGUGCGUGGGCAAGGCGGACGGCGCCGAGUACGCCUGCAAAUCCAUCCCCAAGCGCAAACUGCUGUGCCGCGAGGACUACGAGGACGUGUGGCGCGAGAUCCAGAUCAUGCACCACCUUUCCGAGCACCCCAACGUCGUCCGCAUCCGCGGCGCCUACGAGGACGCGCUCUUCGUGCAUCUCGUCAUGGAGCUCUGCGCCGGCGGCGAGCUCUUCGACCGCAUCGUCGCCAAGGGACACUACAGCGAGCGCGCCGCCGCGCAGCUCAUCAGGACGAUCGUCGGGGUGGUGGAGGGAUGCCACUCGCUCGGCGUCAUGCACCGGGACCUCAAGCCGGAGAACUUCCUCUUCGCGAGCACUGCAGAGGAUGCCCCGCUCAAGGCCACUGAUUUUGGGCUAUCGGUGUUCUACAAGCCCGGUGCGUAUCUGUGCAAUUGUUUGUGCUGACGUUUAAUAUUUGUGCUGUACAAUGUUGCUAUUUGGUUCACUUGAUGCGGCAAUGGUAUGCGCGCUAACUGCUAGCAUUGGGUUUGGUAGGGAGUACUGCUCUUCAUAGAUAGUUUUGAUACACCAGCAAGCAUGUUAACAUUUCAUUUCCAUAUGUGGCUCAUUUUGUUAGAAUAUAAAGAAUCCCUGUCAAAAUGUUGCUAACAUGAGAACUAGUAUAUAUUAGUACUGGGGACAAAUAAAUCUGCGUUGCAACUAGAAUACUUGUCAAUAGCAAUAGGCCAAUAAGCCUUUCAAGGUUGAUGGCAAGAACUGUCUUCUCUCGUAGAACUGUAACAGAUUUUGUGACAAAUGUGGUGUUGUGGUUAAAGUAGUGUUUAAUGAAGUCUUCAGUUAAUGCUGUGCUUUAUUCUGUUUUGCUUGAAGUGAUUAACAGAACACACACUGAAAGAUAUUCCUUGCUAUAUCUCCAGGUGACAAAUUUGCUGACGUUGUUGGUAGCCCCUAUUAUGUUGCCCCUGAGGUGCUCCAGAAAUGCUAUGGCCCAGAAGCUGAUGUCUGGAGUGCUGGAGUUAUUCUGUAUAUUUUGCUAUGUGGUGUACCCCCAUUCUGGGCAGGUAAAUUGUUUGUUAUUCCAACCAUUGAAUUUCUACGUUGAGAUUGAUUGUCGUUUACUGAUAUUAGCAUGUUUCCAUAUGUAAAAUCUUCCUGUUUCCCCCUCCUUUCAGAAAGUGAAGCUGGAAUCUUCAGGCAGAUUUUGCGAGGCAAACUUGACUUGGAAUCUGAACCAUGGCCAAGUAUCUCUGAUAGUGCUAAAGAUCUAGUCCGUAAGAUGCUUAUCCGGGAUCCUACGAAGAGAUUGACUGCUCAUGAGGUUCUAUGUAAGUUUUCUGCCUACAUGCCCUCCCUCUCUCUGUCUGAGAUUCUGUAUGCAUGCUUGUGCUCCUGGGUCAUGGAAGUUCGUUCUUAUUAAACAUGGUGACAUUGACUAUGCCAGGUCAUCCAUGGAUUGUUGAUGAUGCUGUCGCACCUGAUAAGCCUAUUGAUUCUGCUGUUUUGUCAAGGCUGAAAAACUUUUCUGCAAUGAACAAGCUUAAGAAGAUGGCAUUGAGGGUAAGAAGAACUUCAUUUUUCUCAAAUAAGAACUUUUAUCCCAUUGAUGUGUGAUUAUGUUGCAAACGAAAUUCAGUACUGCAAUGUUACGGUCAGUGCGUCAUUUCUAUUAUGACACUGCCUUACUGCCUACUGUGUUGUGCACUCAAGUUAACUUCAUAUGAAUCUUUUCCUUUCUCUUUCUCCUGGUUUUCCAUGUUAACUGGAUUUUUUGUGCACUUUAAAUCUGUAUUUGUCCCCUUUAAUUUUUAGAAAGCCCAAUUUACACACAUCUGCUUAAAAACCAAAGCUUUUGAAACCAGUCAUUUAGCCGCCUGUUCUUUUUAAUGGCAGUUCUGCCACACCAACCAUCGAUGUCACACACUCACACAGUCCCAAUAAACAAAAAAGCUGGCCUACAUGUCACCUUUCAUACAAUUCACAGAACCUGUUUCUUUCCAAAAGAACAGUCCUCCCAGAUCCAACCCUGUUGUCUCCAAUCCCUUCAGCUGCACUAGUGCGAGACCUGGAUGCCAGCCAUGGUAUUCUAUGACUACCGACCACAAAAGCCAUUGAACCCAUGGCUAAAGACUGCUUGACACUAGCAGCAGGAGGCCACUAAUGGUAGCAACGGUAAGAUGUCAGAAAGGUGAGUGACUGUAGGUGGUGAGCAUCUGUAUGGUGGUGAGCUGCAAACUGGUUAGCGACUGGACCUCAUUGUUUUACACAUUACUACUGUGCACUUCUAUUGCUUGAUUGAGUGGGGUUUGCACUGCCAACAUCUCAUGUCUAGUUCCACCCAUUGACCCACCUUGGUGACCACGCUACCAUCACCCUCUUAGUUCAACAAUGCCUUGGUCAUGUUCACCUCUUGUUGUCCUUGUUUGUUUGUUGAUUCGGGAGGACAAUUUCAAUAUUAGUGACAGGAAGCAGUAAAUGCUAAGAUCUGGGGCUGUGUUGCAUUGGUAGCAGCAAUGGCACACCGGAUUUGACCAAGUGUUCUCAGAUAAGGGCAUUAGGAAGCAUUUGAUUUUGGGAAAGGAGGUUUCAUGGGCAGUAUGGUCAGUGGUCAUCUGAUGCAAGGAAUGAAGGGACCAGGAGUUUCAAAACAGAUUCUUUUUGUUGGAAGAGAAGAGGUUCUUUGUUUUGGCUUAAGUGUCUGACACAAUUCUAAAACAACUAAUGCUCGGUUUUUCACUAUGGGGUUUUACAAUAUUGUUUGCUUGAACUCUAGAUUAACUGGUUUCUCGCAUAACAGGCAUGGCAUAAGGUUGCAAAUGUUUAAUAAGAGGUGAUGGUAUGUGCAAUGACCAUGGAAAUUGAUCUUUUCAGAUGAAUCUUUUUGUUCGUGCAGGUGAUUGCUGAAAGCCUAUCUGAGGAGGAGAUCGGGGGCUUAAAGGAGUUGUUCAAAAUGAUCGAUACUGACAACAGUGGGACGAUAACUUAUGAUGAACUGAAGAACGGUCUGAAAAGGGUGGGGUCGGAUCUGAUGGAACCUGAAAUCCAGGCUUUAAUGGAUGCAGUAAGUACUACUAUUGCGUCGAGUCUAUUGUCCACAUAAAAUAGAUGCACUGUAGCAGCCUUUGAUUGUAUGGACCGUUGAGAUUGUAAUCUGGGUUUGUCUUGUAUAUCAGGCUGAUAUUGACAACAGUGGAACCAUUGACUAUGGAGAGUUCUUGGCAGCUACAUUGCACAUGAAUAAACUGGAGAGGGAGGAAAGCUUGGUGUCAGCGUUUGCAUUCUUUGACAAGGAUGGGAGUGGCUUCAUAACAAUUGAUGAGCUUUCACAAGCAUGCCAACAGUUUGGUCUUUCUGAUGUUCAUCUUGAGGAUAUGAUCAAAGAUGUGGAUCAAAACAAUGUUGGUCUUCUUAACCCCUCUUGUUCUUUGAAUCCUUCUCCAUACUUGUCCUAUUGUCUCAUUAUUAUGCAUCAUUUUUCAGGAUGGACAAAUUGAUUAUAGCGAGUUUGCGGCGAUGAUGAGAAAGGGCAAUGCUGGUGGAGCAGGAAGGCGGACCAUGAGGAACAGCUUGCAUGUGGAUCUUGGUGAACUUUUGAAGCCCGCUGAGAGCUAAUUGGUAUCAGAGGAUUCUGCUUUCCAGAUGCUCCCAUAUGCCAAUUGAGCAGUUGAUCUAUUACCAAUGCCACCAAAAAGCUGUUAAAUUUCUGCAGUGGUACUAGUAGUUAGUGGAAAGAGCAUACUAUGGUACAAGUGUAACAAAAUUUAGGUGCUAUGAUGCUACUUAGGAGUCCUGUUGUCUUGUCAUGAAUGUUGUUGAUAAUUCUCAGGUUUGUACCAUUACUGAUUUUUGUUUCCAGUGUACACUGCCGUUGUCCUAUAAGGUAGGCAUCUAGAUCUGUCCAUUUGAAUUACCAAUCCAUUUGUAAACAUGUUCUCAUCACAAACCUAUUUCUUAUUGAUGAUUUCUCAAAAUCUCUGUUUUUCACAUUACAAUAUCAGGGAUGGUUACAAUCAUUUGUCAGGUAUUUGCUCUGGUUGUCCAGGAAAGAAUCAUGUGUAUCUCCAUCCAGUAAUUUCUUGAAUACAACCAAUGAAAGAUGGGUACAGUUCGUCUAUUCCCGUAUACGACAGGUUGGAACAGUUCGUCCAUUUCCGUAUACGAAAGAUUGGAACAGUUCGUCCAUUUCCGUAGACGACAGAUUAGAACAGUUCGUCCAUUUCCGUAUACGUGGAUCAAUGUCUCAUGUGUUGUGACAGAUGAUAUGCAGGAGCGCGACAUGACCGGACGCCCCUGGAUCGCCAUUGCUUGCCUGCAGAGCUCUCCACACCGCGCAUGGCAACAAACAACUCGUAGCUGCAGCCGUUGGCAUCACCAGAAGCCCCCAAGAAAUCCGCGGCGUUCUGCGAAAACCACGAUGACAAACCGUGGGAAUCGAUGGAUGGAUGUCCACCGCAGGCGCGCAUCUACGGGCAACAGUUGCUGGUUUGGCGCGCCCACAGAAACCUCCCUGUCAGCCUCAUCACCCAAAGCCGGGAUCCUUUUUUUUAUAGAUAUAUAUAUAAUAAACUGGGAUCCUUAUUGAAAUUUUGAGGCCAGCAACAUUCAGGCAAUCCCAUGGUUGAGCUGCCACGAAGAUUCCAGAGUUGAGCUGUCCCUUUUUCUCUGAACUUUUUGUCAUUUUUUUACAGCACACAGUUAAAAUGGGAUGGAAAUCACAGAAAAGAUCUUCCCUAGAAUCAGGAAUCCGGAUCAGGACAAAACAAAAAGGAGGUGAUAACCGUGCAUGGUCCUACUCUUUUGAAGAGACCAUGGGAACCAGUGAGAAGCAGCCACUCCAUCCACUGAAAUCCAGAGGGCAGCAACCUCAGCCUCACAACGCAUGUCUUUUUAUCCUUCCUUCCCUUGUCCAGCCACCACUGGUUUACCUGGCAGAAACCUUAAAUAUGUGAUGUGGCUGCAGCUCUCACCCCAAGGAAGGAGACACUCCAUUCGUUGUUCACUGGUGUGAACCUGAGGCCACUGCCAGCCUGAGCUGAGCUGAACUUCAGAAGACAGCAAGAGCAUCGAGGAAGAAGAAGAUGGCCUCUGCUACCCUGCUCAAGUCCUCCUUCCUUCCCAAGAAGUCGGAAUGGGGCGCCGCCAGGCAGCUCACCGCGCCCCGGCCGGUCACCGUCUCCGUGGUCGUCCGCGCCAGCGCCUACGCCGAUGAGCUCGUCAAGACAGCGGUGCGUUCGUCGUUUCUUCACUAGUGGCCGAUCGAAACUGUCACUAUCGCCAUCUUGCUUGCUGAAAGAAAUAAUGAUGACAUGGUGAGUUGCAGAAAACGAUCGCGUCGCCUGGGCGCGGCAUCCUGGCCAUGGACGAGUCGAACGCGACGUGCGGGAAGCGGCUGGCGUCCAUCGGGCUGGAGAACACGGAGGCCAACCGGCAGGCGUACAGGACGCUGCUGGUCACCGCGCCGGGGCUGGGCAACUACAUCUCCGGCGCCAUCCUUUUCGAGGAGACGCUCUACCAGUCCGCCGUCGACGGCCGCCGGAUCGUCGACAUCCUCACCGAGCAGGGCAUCGUGCCCGGGAUCAAGGUCGACAAGGGCCUCGUCCCGCUCGCCGGCUCCAACGACGAGUCCUGGUGCCAGGGCCUCGACGGCCUCGCCGCCCGCGAGGCCGCCUACUACCAGCAGGGCGCCCGAUUCGCCAAGUGGCGCACCGUCGUCAGCAUCCCCAACGGGCCAUCCGAGCUCGCCGUCAAGGAGGCCGCAUGGGGGCUCGCCCGCUACGCCGCCAUCUCGCAGGUACGCCUUCUUGCUUGCUUCUAGCCAUGGAGAUAGUUCAUCCAGCUAAUUAAUAAAAGCUAACACCGAUGGAAUGGAAUCGACCGAGCAGGACAACGGACUUGUGCCGAUCGUAGAGCCGGAGAUCCUGCUGGACGGCGAGCACGGCAUCGAGCGGACCUUCGAGGUGGCGCAGAAGGUGUGGGCCGAGACCUUCUACGCCAUGGCGGAGAACAACGUCAUGUUCGAGGGCAUCCUGCUCAAGCCAUCCAUGGUGACGCCGGGCGCCGAGGCUAAGGACCGGGCCACGCCGGAGCAGGUCGCCGAGUACACCCUGAAGCUCCUCCACCGCCGCAUCCCGCCCUCCGUCCCCGGCAUCAUGUUCCUCUCCGGCGGGCAGUCGGAGGUGGAGGCGACGCAGAACCUCAACGCCAUGAACCAGGGGCCCAACCCGUGGCACGUGUCCUUCUCCUACGCGCGGGCGCUGCAGAACACCUGCCUCAAGACGUGGGGCGGCGUGCCGGAGAACGUCAAGGCGGCGCAGGACGCGCUGCUGCUGCGCGCCAAGGCCAACUCGCUGGCGCAGCUCGGCAAGUACACCUCCGACGGCGAGGCCGCCGAGGCCAAGGAGGGCAUGUUCGUCAAGAACUACAGCUACUAAUUCAUCGGCUAGCAACUCCGACGAUACAUACUGGUUACGCAAGCUAAGCACGUCUUCGCCGUGAUGAUCCAUGCAUGGUGCUCAUCGAUGCUUUGUGCGUGCCGUUAGUUACUACUGCUAGCUACU
This 44325-nucleotide long non-coding RNA is filed under the name Setaria viridis. Its description in RNAcentral is "long non-coding RNA (SVIR_LNC008547)". The record is from RNAcentral. Lineage: Eukaryota; Viridiplantae; Streptophyta; Magnoliopsida; Poales; Poaceae.